GGGGGUUUAGCUCAGUGGCAUAAGCACCUGCCUUACAAUCAGGCGUUUGUGAGUUCAAUCCCCG
RNAcentral lists this transfer RNA (64 nucleotides) under Cavia porcellus (domestic guinea pig). It matches the Rfam family "tRNA", at positions 1 to 62 of the family's 71-position model. From Rfam's summary of the family: Transfer RNA (tRNA) molecules are approximately 80 nucleotides in length. Their secondary structure includes four short double-helical elements and three loops (D, anti-codon, and T loops). Lineage: Eukaryota; Metazoa; Chordata; Mammalia; Rodentia; Caviidae. The record is from Rfam by way of RNAcentral.